AUUGAACGCUGGCGGCAGGCCUAACACAUGCCAGUCGAACGGUAACAGGAAGAAUCUUGCUUCUUUGCUGACGAGUGGCGGACGGGUGAGUCAUGUCUGGGAAACUGCCUGCUGGAGGGGGAUAACUACUGGAAACGGUAGCUAAUACCGCAUAACGUCGCAAGACCAAAGAGGGGGACCUUCGGGCCUCUUGCCAUCGGAUGUGCCCAGAUGGGAUUAGCUAGUAGGUGGGGUAACGGCUCCCCUAGGCGACGAGUCCUAGCUGGUGUGAGGGGGUGACCGGCGACACUGGAAGUGGGACACGGUCAAGACUCCUACGGGAGGCCGCAGUGGGGAAUAUUGCACAAUGGGCGGAAGCCUGAUGCAGCCAUGCCGCGUGUAUGACGAAGGCCUUCGGGUUGUAAAGUACUUUCAGCGGGGAGGAAGGGAGUAAAGUUGAUACCUUUGCUCAUUGACGGUACCCGCAGAAGAAGCACCGGCUAACUACGUG
RNAcentral lists this ribosomal RNA (490 nucleotides) under uncultured bacterium. Its description in RNAcentral is "partial 16S ribosomal RNA". It matches the Rfam family "Bacterial small subunit ribosomal RNA", at positions 30 to 507 of the family's 1533-position model. The record is from RNAcentral.